GAUGAACGCUGACAGAAUGCUUAACACAUGCAAGUCGAUGGGGAAGUGGUGCUUGCACCAUGGCAACCAUGGCGGACGGGUGAGUAACGCGUAAGGGACUUACCUGCAGGACUGGGAUAACAGGGGGAAACUCCUGACAAGACCGGAUAAUGUCAUGGAGCUGCAUGGCUUUAUGAUGAAAGGAGACGCCUGCGGAGAGCCUUGCGUCCUAUUAGCUAGUUGGUGAGGUAAUGGCUCACCAAGGCGAAGAUAGGUAGCCGGCCUGAGAGGGUGGACGGCCACAAGGGGACUGGGAUACGGCCGUUACUCCUACGGGAGGCAGCAGUGGGGAAUAUUGGACAAUGGGGGCAACCCUGAUCCAGCAAUUCUGUGUGCACGAAGAAGGUUUUCGGAUUGUAAAGUGCUUGCAGCAGGGAAGAAGUAAGUGACGGUACCUGCAGAAGAAGCGACGGCUAAAUACGUG
This 463-nucleotide ribosomal RNA is filed under the name uncultured bacterium. RNAcentral describes it as "partial 16S ribosomal RNA". It matches the Rfam family "Bacterial small subunit ribosomal RNA", at positions 28 to 507 of the family's 1533-position model. The record is from RNAcentral.